RNAcentral lists this ribosomal RNA (266 nucleotides) under uncultured prokaryote. RNAcentral describes it as "partial 16S ribosomal RNA". It matches the Rfam family "Bacterial small subunit ribosomal RNA", at positions 524 to 789 of the family's 1533-position model. The record is from RNAcentral.
GACGUAGGGGGCGAGUGUUGUCCGGAAUUACUGGGCUUAAAGGGUGCGUAGGCGGCCAUUCAAGUCGGGUGUGAAAGCCCUCAGCUCAACUGAGGAACUGCGCCCGAUACUGUUUGGCUUGAGGAAGGCAGAGGUGAGCGGAACUUGCGGUGGAGCGGUGAAAUGCGUUGAUAUCGCAAGGAACACCAGUAGCGAAGGCGGCUCACUGGGCCUUUUCUGACGCUGAGGCACGAAAGCUAGGGUAGCGAAGAGGAUUAGAUACCCCU